Paramuricea clavata is the source of this 310-nucleotide non-coding RNA. NCBI's taxonomy places the organism in Eukaryota, Metazoa, Cnidaria, Anthozoa, Malacalcyonacea, Plexauridae. The record is from the annotation of a GenBank genome assembly.
GUCAAUAUCGACGUCAUCAACACCAAAGUUGAUCGUGUUUAUGACGUCGAAUAUCGACGUCAUAAACACCAAAGUUGAUCGUGUCGAAUAUCGACGUCAUAAACACCAAAGUUGAUCGUGUUUAAUAUCGACGUCAUAAACACCAAAGUUGAUCGUGUUUAAUAUCGACGUCAUAAACACCAAAGUUGUAUCGUGUUUAUGACGUCGAAUAUCGACAUCAUAAACACCAAAAAUUGUAUCGUGUUUAUGACGUCGUAUAUCGACGUCAUAAACACCAAAGUUGAUCGUGUUGAUGACGUCGAAUAUCGAC